RNAcentral lists this long non-coding RNA (719 nucleotides) under Cricetulus griseus (Chinese hamster). RNAcentral describes it as "lncRNA (ENSCGRG00015032174.1)". Lineage: Eukaryota; Metazoa; Chordata; Mammalia; Rodentia; Cricetidae. The record is from RNAcentral.
ACACUGCAUCUGGGACUUCGCACUCGCCCUUACCCCUACCUCCCUUCCCACCCUCUCUUGGGGGCUGGAUCUCGGGCUUUGCAGGAGGUGGCAGAGGUCACUGAAAGGUCUAGGCUUUGCUGGGACUCUGCUGGAAUCCAGAGCAGUCGACCAUGGGGCCUUGGGGCCUCUCCCACCCCGGAGCUGCAGAAGGGAAGCUGAAGUGCCGGUUGGAGGAAGUCCCCACCCCCAAAGCCCUCCUGCAGAAUUGAACCCUCCUCCCUCUGGGCUGGGGGAGUAGGGGAGAAGAGCCCGAGAGCUCCUGAGGUUUUCUCUGGGCUAGUUGGAAAACCCGUCCUGGCUCCAGUCUGCCCUCGGCCUAGUCCAUCAGAGUCCCCACAACCAGGAACCCAGAAGAGAGCACAGGAGUGUAGAUACCUGAGGACUUCCAGGAGCCAAACAGGUGGUUGCUGCACUUGGGGAGCGCUCUGCUCGGUGCACGCGGGAUUCACUGAGAUUCGGGCCCAACGAAUUCUCAGCGGCGAGAGGGGAAAAUCCUGUCGCUUCUCAGCGCCAAAAAAAACCCAAUUCUUCCUGGAGUCUGAUACCCCUGGGAGGCCUCAUCCAGGGCCUGGGAAUCCCGGAGUGAGCGGUAAGGAGAGAACGAAAUCGAAAUCCUGAGGUUUGGAGCAGGCCAGCGGUGUGGAUAACUCUGUGGACAUCAAGCACCAGCCAACGCG